RNAcentral lists this ribosomal RNA (497 nucleotides) under uncultured bacterium. RNAcentral describes it as "partial 16S ribosomal RNA". It matches the Rfam family "Bacterial small subunit ribosomal RNA", at positions 28 to 507 of the family's 1533-position model. The record is from RNAcentral.
GACGAACGCUGGCGGCGUGCCUAAUACAUGCAAGUUGAGCGCUGAAGGUUGGUACUUGUACCAACUGGAUGAGCAGCGAACGGGUGAGUAACGCGUGGGGAAUCUGCCUUUGAGCGGGGGACAACAUUUGGAAACGAAUGCUAAUACCGCAUAAAAACUUUAAACACACGUUUUAAGUUUGAAAGAUGCAUUUGCAUAACUCAAAGUUGAUCCCCCGUUGUAUUUGCUAGUUGGUGAGGUAAAGGCUCACCAAGGCGAUGAUACAUAGCCGACCUGAGGGGGUGAGCUGCCACAUUGGCAGUGAGACAGGGCCCAAAAGCCACCGGGAGGCAGCAGUAGGGAAACUGUGGCAAUGGAAGAAAGUCUGACCGUGGAACGCCGCGUGAGUGAAGAAGGGUUUCGGAUCGUAAAACUCUGUUGGUAGAGAAGAACGUUGGUGAGAGUAGAAAGCUCAUCAAGUGACGGUAACUACCCAGAAAGGGACGGCUAACUACGUG